This 1698-nucleotide long non-coding RNA is filed under the name Sarcophilus harrisii (Tasmanian devil). RNAcentral describes it as "lncRNA (ENSSHAG00000022360.1)". The record is from RNAcentral. Lineage: Eukaryota; Metazoa; Chordata; Mammalia; Dasyuromorphia; Dasyuridae.
GAGAUGAGAUUUGUAAUGCGUAUAGAAAUGUUUUUUCCUAUCUGGUUUGUAAAUAAGUAGGAAUCAUGGUGCACUUGAGGGGUCUCUUGAAAACUCCUGGAAGUGAGAAUCACUGCUCUGAAUUUGAACUGACUCUGGGAUCUAGCUGCUGCAUUUUGCCUUUCUUACGUAAUUGUAUUUUGGAAUGUAACCCUUGUCUUCACCACCUUCAUUGGCAGGAUUUCCUUGUGUUGUGGAACACUAUCACGAGAGCUUCCAGCUUUUGAAGCUCCUGGGCAGUGCCUAGGAGAUACUAUCUCUUCCCUCUCCCCUCUUUUCUUUACCCCACAUCCCACACAGCAUAUUUUCCCAACCCAGUUUGUGAGGUUGUUUGAUAUGUUUUUGGCAGGUAAGUUCUUUCUGACUUCUAUGUUUAACAUCCUUCCUGCCAAUCUUGAAAAAAUAGGAUUCCCUGUAAUCUUACUGUAUACAAAGAUAUUGGCAAGGUAAAAGCCCAGUAAUUAUAAUUGCUUUGUUGGUCUUAUACUAUUAAUACUAGGACCUAAAAGUCCUGUGCUCUGACCUCCUUGCUCCUUAAUGAAGAAAGAAGUAGGUGAAGGAUACCCUUUCCUCACCCUUCUACCCUUUUCAUGUCCAAAAGAUUUCAUUCAAUGCCUUAGCCAAGGAGAGCAGCAUCUUCCUCCCUUGCUUGUCCCCUCCUAACUUUUCCUCCUGGCUUCUCCGGGCUCCUUUGGUGGCUGUUAGUGGAGGGUCUGCUCAGCAGUAACCAAGGGAAUCAUCCUCAGGAUAAAAGGAGCAUUUUAGACUCUAAACAUUUUUCUUUAGCUUUCUUGGAAGAAAACAAAUAACCUCUUCCUGUCUGGAGGACAUGUUUGGCUCUGGUAUUGCAUAAUUAUAUAAAGACUUGAAUAGGUGGCCCGAGGUUCUCAGGAAUAACUGCUGCAAAUAGUGUACUAUCUAACAAGGUAGUACUCUGGAGCUGCCUAAUGCUAAUACUUGGCAAGGCCAGCUUGGGGAGGGCUCAGACUUCAGAGAGAAAGAGUCCACAUGUCUUUUUCCUGUAACUUGCCAGCAAACUGAAAUCUCUAAGGCCCCCUCUUCUCACUGAUCCCAGACUUAUUCUUAUCCCAAGGGAUUGAAUGAAAAUUACGUAUGUGAUAUAUAAAAGAUGUAGCAGUGUGGAGAGGGAUUGUGAAAUCAGGACAGUGGGCUUUCACCCCCACCCUGCAAAGAGCAUGUUCUUGCUAGACCAAGAAUCCUGUUUUUUUUUUUUUUUACACAUCUGUAAAUAGAUGGAAUGUUUUUAAGAAUAUAAUAAUGUCAAAUUUAGCUUUUCCUUUUAUAUAUUAAAAAUAUAACUUUCCCUCUUUUCUGCUUUUGAAAAAUGAUUAUUUUUUUAGAAGUCUUAACAAUAGGAAAUGUUUGGUGACUGAGAGAGGCAUAAUGUAUAAACCUGAAAUAAAUCAAUCAUGUUAAUUAAGGUGUUGGGAGGUUUGUGCUGGUUUGAAGAAGGGGAUGGAAAUAUUGAGACAGACCUUAAUACUGAAAAUUUAUCUUGGACUGGCCUUUUUCUUGGAAACUUCAUGUUGUACCUUUUGGGAAGAAUGUUGAGACACUAUAAGGUGUGACUUCAUAUACCAUUUAUCUCCAUUAACUAGGUCUUACAGGGAGUCUCUCACAAUAAAGUGAGGCUAGCAG